Molecule: transfer RNA, 77 nt
Filed under: Escherichia coli
Lineage: Bacteria; Pseudomonadati; Pseudomonadota; Gammaproteobacteria; Enterobacterales; Enterobacteriaceae
Description: tRNA-Val
Rfam family: tRNA
About the family: Transfer RNA (tRNA) molecules are approximately 80 nucleotides in length. Their secondary structure includes four short double-helical elements and three loops (D, anti-codon, and T loops).
Source: RNAcentral
GCGCCCGUAGCUCAGUUGGUUAGAGCACCACCUUGACAUGGUGGGGGUCGGUGGUUCGAGUCCACUCGGACGCACCA